Long non-coding RNA from Dreissena polymorpha, 2253 nucleotides. RefSeq lists it as uncharacterized. The transcript is spliced from 2 exons. Lineage: Eukaryota; Metazoa; Mollusca; Bivalvia; Myida; Dreissenidae. The record is from RefSeq and is a predicted model, not a curated record.
CAUUAAAUAAAAUAUUUUAGCAAAUGUACAGUAUCCUAUAAUGUUCAUUGCAUACUAGUGGUAUAUCAAUGUAGUAUAUCGUUAACGUGGUACAUCAAUGUAGUAUAUCGUUAAAAUGGUACAUCAAAGCAGUAUAUCGUUAAAAUGGUACAUCAAUGCAAUAUAUCGUUAACGUGGUACAUCAAUGUAGUAUCUCGUUAAAGUGGUACAUCAAUGUAGUAUCUCGUUAAAGUGGUACAUCAAUGCAGUAUAUCGUUAACGUGGUACAUCAAUGCAGUAUAUCGUUAAAAUGGUACAUCAAUGCAGUAUAUCGUUAACGUGGUACAUCAAUGUAGUUUAUCGUUAACGUGGUAUAUCAAUGCAGUAUAUCGUUAAAAUGGUACAUCAAUGCAGUAUAUCGUUAAAAUGGUACAUCAAUGCAAUAUAUCGUUAACGUGGUACAUCAAUGUAGUUUAUCGUUAACGUGGUACAUCAAUGCAGUAUAUCGUUAAAAUGGUACAUCAAUGCAGUAUAUCGUUAACGUGGUACAUCAAUGUAGUUUAUCGUUAACGUGGUAUAUCAAUGUAGUAUAUCGUUAAAGUGGUACAUCAAUGUAGUAUAUCGUUAACGUGGCACAUCAAUGUAGUAUAUCGUUAACGUGGUACAUCAAUGCAGUAUAUCGUUAACGUGGUAUAUCAAUGUAGUAUAUCGUUAACGUGGUACAUCAAUGUAGUAUCUCGUUAAAGUGGUAUAUCAAUGUAGUAUAUCGUUAAAGUGGUACAUCAAUGUAGUAUCUCGUUAAAGUGGUACAUCAAUGUAGUAUAUCGUUAAAGUGGUAUAUCAAUGUAGUAUAUCGUUAAAGUGGUAUAUCAAUGUAGUAUAUCGUUAACGUGGUACAUCAAUGCAGUAUAUCGUUAAAGUGGUACAACAAUGUAGUAUAUCGUUAAAGUGGUACAACAAUGUAGUAUAUCGUUAACGUGGUACAACAAUGUAGUAUAUCGUUAACGUGGUACAUCAAUGUAGUAUAUCGUUAACGUGGUACAUCAAUGUAGUAUAUCGUUAACGUGGUACAUCAAUGUAGUAUAUCGUUAACGUGGUAUAUCAAUGUAGUAUAUCGUUAACGUGGUAUAUCAAUGUAGUAUCUCGUUAAAGUGGUAUAUCAAUGUAGUAUCUCGUUAAAGUGGUAUAUCAAUGUAGUAUAUCGUUAACGUGGUACAUCAAUGCAGUAUAUCGUUAAAGUGGUAUAUCAAUGUAGUAUAUCGUUAACGUGGUAUAUCAAUGUAGUAUCUCGUUAAAGUGGUAUAUCAAUGUAGUAUCUCGUUAAAGUGGUAUAUCAAUGUAGUAUAUCGUUAAAGUGGUAUAUCAAUGUAGUAUAUCGUUAACGUGGUACAUCAAUGCAGUAUAUCGUUUAAGUGGUAUAUCAAUGUAGUAUAUCGUUAAAGUGGUAUAUCAAUGCAGUAUAUCGUUAAAGUGGUACAACAAUGUAGUAUAUCGUUAAAGUGGUACAACAAUGUAGUAUAUCGUUAACGUGGUACAACAAUGUAGUAUAUCGUUAACGUGGUACAUCAAUGUAGUAUAUCGUUAACGUGGUACAUCAAUGUAGUAUAUCGUUAACGUGGUACAUCAAUGUAGUAUAUCGUUAACGUGGUACAUCAAUGUAGUAUAUCGUUAAAGUGGUACAUCAAUGUAGUAUAUCGUUAAAGUGGUAUAUCAAUGUAGUAUAUCGUUAACGUGGUACAUCAAUGCAGUAUAUCGUUUAAGUGGUAUAUCAAUGUAGUAUAUCGUUAAAGUGGUACAUCAAUGUAGUAUAUCGUUAACGUGGUACAUCAAAGCAGUAUAUCGUUAAAGUGGUACAACAAUAUAGUAUAUCGUUAACGUGGUACAUCAAUGUAGUAUCUCGUUAAACCUAACUUUAAAAUAUGAAGUGUUUAUGAUUAAGUAAAAUAUUUUGGCUAUCCAUUUCUAAAAUGAACAUAGAAAUUGUGUAUCAAUAUGUAUAAUGAGAAUAUUGCCAUUAAAACAACAACAACAGGAUCUCAAAUGUUCUAAUAAGAAUUCGUCGAUUUCAAUAACUGCUUAAGACUAGAAAUUUAACAACAAAUACUGUCCAUAUGAUAUUCGCACAUAAAUCUACUGACAUGCAUGAUACCAACAACCUCAAAUCUAGGCAAGUGGCCCAUUUCUUGAUAUAACUGGUAGGGAUAUUUUCAUUGGGUCAGUGACUAUUGUCCAAUUUUCCCAAUCAUUCGAGUGUUGGUUUUUGUUCUUUGCAAA